GCACUUACAGUGGGGUCACUGCCCUUAAGCACACUGCAGCAAGCGCUGCCGCUACUUUUUCUUUAAAAAUAAGACAGCUGUCCUGUCCUUGGAGCAGAUACUUUGCUCCGCUAAGAAUGCCCCCUUAGCUGACUUCCUGCGCGGUGGUAUUCGGAGCUCGUCGCCUUGGGGUCAGAUCCCAUGUAGUCGCUCCCAGGAGCAUGAUUCAAGUUCUGGCCUUGGAUCCUAUGGCAUCUGCACACCCCAUCCUUGAGAGGCUUUCGAACUGAAACGCUCAUGAGGUUUGCGGUGGCUGGAGAGCGGCCGCGGAACCAGUGUGCGGGCGCCGCGGUCCAGGUGGCGGCGAGAUCUCAGCGAAAACGUAGCGGGGGCGCGGAGCCACGGGCAGCAGCGGCGUCAGCGCGGCCAGAGGUAGCAGUACACGUGGAGAGGAGGAAACUUUGCGUGCCCGGGAGGACAGCAUCGGCCGAGGAGCUCACCCGGCGGUGGCCGCGAGGCUGGGCUGCGCCGCGGGGCUGGGAAGGGACUACCGCUGGCCCUCCACGGGACGCGCUCCCAGCCCCC
Molecule: long non-coding RNA, 564 nt
Organism: Bos taurus (domestic cattle)
Lineage: Eukaryota; Metazoa; Chordata; Mammalia; Artiodactyla; Bovidae
Source: Ensembl